RNAcentral lists this long non-coding RNA (233 nucleotides) under Nicotiana benthamiana. Its description in RNAcentral is "long non-coding RNA (NBEN_LNC014794)". Lineage: Eukaryota; Viridiplantae; Streptophyta; Magnoliopsida; Solanales; Solanaceae. The record is from RNAcentral.
CAUACUAUCCUCAUUGUUUGCAUGUUGCCAUAUUUGUAAAUCAGUGAAAAAACCUCCUCUAACAAUAGUGAUAAGGAAUACAAACCAAAAGCAAGCCUGGAUAAAAAAGCCUUAGAAGGCUGCAGAUACGCAGGUUAAAGCUACAAAAGAUGAUCAACUAGUACAAGUAGGGAAGUUAACUCAGGCCACAAAGGAUUCCAAUUUAUUAGAGGAACAAACAACAUACAAAUGGC